This 22-nucleotide unclassified non-coding RNA is filed under the name Mus musculus (house mouse). Its description in RNAcentral is "oocyte_clustered_small_RNA3039". Lineage: Eukaryota; Metazoa; Chordata; Mammalia; Rodentia; Muridae. The record is from RNAcentral.
UGGAGGACUUUCCAGUGAGGGA